CAUGUCUUUUUGAUUAUAAUUUAAAGUCUAACCUGCCCUAUGAUUAUAAAAAUUAAAUGGCCGCGAUAUUUUGAUCGUGCAAAGGUAGCAUAAUCAUUAGUUUCUUAAUUAGGAACUGGUAUGAAAGGUUGAACGAGAAAAGGACUGUCUCAAUUUAAAUUAAAUUAGAAUUUUAUUUUUAAGUAAGAAAGCUUAAAUUUAUUUAAAAGACGAGAAGACCCUAUAGAGUUUUAUAUUAAAUUAAUUUAAAAUAAAUUUAAGAAUUAUUAUUUUUUUAUAAUUAGCUUAGUAUUUAAUUGGGGUGAUUAAAAAAUUUAAAUAACUUUUUUUAUUUUUAAACAUUGAUAUAUGAAUAUAUGAUCCAUUUUUUUUAUGAUUAAAAGAUUAAAUUACCUUAGGGAUAACAGCGUAAUUUUUUUUAAGAGUUCUUAUCGAAAAAAAAGUUUGCGACC
RNAcentral lists this ribosomal RNA (452 nucleotides) under Drepanocerus kirbyi. RNAcentral describes it as "partial 16S ribosomal RNA". The record is from RNAcentral. Lineage: Eukaryota; Metazoa; Arthropoda; Insecta; Coleoptera; Scarabaeidae.